Molecule: unclassified non-coding RNA, 301 nt
Filed under: Hevea brasiliensis (rubber tree)
Lineage: Eukaryota; Viridiplantae; Streptophyta; Magnoliopsida; Malpighiales; Euphorbiaceae
Source: RNAcentral
AUGUAAUUUGGUGUGAUUUCUAUUAAAUUAUUAACUAUGAAAAAAAGAAAAAAAAAUAAAAUUAACGAUUUAUGACUCAAUAAUUAAUUUCGAAAAUCAUAAAUUUAAAAUCGAAAACUAAAAAUAAAGAAAGAAAUGAAUUAAUUAAUAAAACAAGUCAAAUGGGUUUAAUUAAAAUAAUAAAUAAUUUCCUCAGAUUGUGUUUGGGGAUGUGGGUGGUGUAUAACGCAAAGACUUAGGAUUGUGUAUAUUAAUAAUAUUAUUAUUGGUGAAAGAAAGGGACGUAAUAGGAUAAUUAAAA